This is a long non-coding RNA of Zalophus californianus (California sea lion), 475 nucleotides long. RefSeq lists it as uncharacterized. NCBI's taxonomy places the organism in Eukaryota, Metazoa, Chordata, Mammalia, Carnivora, Otariidae. The record is from RefSeq and is a predicted model, not a curated record. The transcript has 4 exons.
AGAAGAUAAAAUGAAACCUGAGUGACAUUGCUCUUGGAGAUAUUUUCAUUAUAUGCUAAACGAUGGACUGGACUAAUUGUUAAUGAUUGAAUUUUGUGUUUGCAGACAGCAGUUUUGAAAUUGGGAAGAAGGAACAUUAUAGAUGGCUUUACACCAUCAGUAACUAAGAGAAAAUCAGUUCUGAACACUAAGGAAAAUAAGAUUUUCAGAAGUGGAAACCACAAGAAGAAUAGCAUCUGAUAACAGUAACAUAUAAGAACUUGUCUGGACUUGAACAACUUGUGAUACAUCUGACUGAAGAAAAUAUCUACUUAGUACAAAAGAAGUGUCAUAUGUGGUUUCAGAAAACAAACAAAAAACAGAGCUAACGGCAAGGGCUGUGAGCUGGUUAUCACAAUCACAACAUUCUAGUAUGGCUUCCUAAACUAAUUUGUUGUUACCUGAUGGAAAGGAAUAAAACAAAAAAAGAAUCUCC